RNAcentral lists this ribosomal RNA (344 nucleotides) under uncultured eukaryote. Its description in RNAcentral is "LSU rRNA". It matches the Rfam family "Bacterial large subunit ribosomal RNA", at positions 2142 to 2485 of the family's 2925-position model. The record is from RNAcentral.
GAUAGGUGGGAGGCGUUGAAGAUUUUCUUGCGGGGAGAUUGGAGCCGUUGGUGAGAUACCACUCUAACAAUGCUAGGAUUCUAACCCUAUACCGUUAUCCGGUUAGGGGACAGUUUCAGGUGGUCAGUUUGACUGGGGCGGUCGCCUCCCAAAAGGUAACGGAGGCGUGCAAAGGUUUCCACAGGCUGGUCGGAAAUCAGUCGUAGAGUGUAAAGGCAUAAGGAAGCUUGAUUGUGAGACCUACAAGUCGAACAAAGACGAAAGUCGGCCUUAGUGAUCCGACGGUUCCGAGUGGAAGGGCCGUCGCUCAACGGAUAAAAGUUACUCUAGGGAUAACAGGCUGA